Acanthosepion pharaonis is the source of this 107-nucleotide non-coding RNA. NCBI's taxonomy places the organism in Eukaryota, Metazoa, Mollusca, Cephalopoda, Sepiida, Sepiidae. The record is from the annotation of a GenBank genome assembly.
AGGGCCAUGCCACGUUGAAACAGCAGUUCCCGUACGAUCACAGAAUUUAAGCAACAUCGAUCCUCUUUAGUACUUAGGUGACCGCUUGGGAAGUCUUUGGUGCUGUG